RNAcentral lists this non-coding RNA (31 nucleotides) under Mus musculus (house mouse). Lineage: Eukaryota; Metazoa; Chordata; Mammalia; Rodentia; Muridae. The record is from RNAcentral.
UGUAUGUAUAUUCUACAUCUUUUGUAUCUGC